GGAGAGGUGUCCGAGUGGUCUAAGGAGCACGCCUGGAGAGCGUGUGUGCCCCAAAAGGGUACCGUGGGUUCAAAUCCCACCCUCUCCGCCA
RNAcentral lists this transfer RNA (91 nucleotides) under candidate division BRC1 bacterium ADurb.Bin183. Its description in RNAcentral is "tRNA-Ser". It matches the Rfam family "tRNA". Rfam says of the family: Transfer RNA (tRNA) molecules are approximately 80 nucleotides in length. Their secondary structure includes four short double-helical elements and three loops (D, anti-codon, and T loops). Further hydrogen bonds mediate the characteristic L-shaped molecular structure. tRNAs have two regions of fundamental functional importance: the anti-codon, which is responsible for specific mRNA codon recognition, and the 3' end, to which the tRNAs corresponding amino acid is attached (by aminoacyl-tRNA synthetases). tRNAs cope with the degeneracy of the genetic code in two manners: having more than one tRNA (with a specific anti-codon) for a particular amino acid; and 'wobble' base-pairing, i.e. permitting non-standard base-pairing at the 3rd anti-codon position. RNAcentral also lists the same sequence under 2 other names. Lineage: Bacteria; Candidatus Sumerlaeota. The record is from RNAcentral.